This 24-nucleotide non-coding RNA is filed under the name Arabidopsis thaliana (thale cress). Lineage: Eukaryota; Viridiplantae; Streptophyta; Magnoliopsida; Brassicales; Brassicaceae. The record is from RNAcentral.
GAAAAAUGCAACCGGUCAAAACAG